GGAGAACAGAGCAGAAAGCAGGAAGGAGGCAGCACACGAUGUUGUUCAUUGCUUUGUGUGCAUCAUGUCAACAAAUAAUUCUUAUAGGGAUGCAGAAUUGGAGUGAUAUUUGUUGGGCUAUGCUCUCCUCCAUCUUUUGGGAAGCUCAGAAAGCAAAGCUUCCACUGCAUCUCACCCUCACCGAGAUGCUGUUUUCCCCCAAUUAACCAUGAAUAAGGAAUUGGUUUGGGCAUGCUUGACGCCAGUGUUUCCAUGAGGCUAGUGGGAAUGUUGGUGGUAAAGAUGGCUUCACGGAGGACAUCCACUGUCUGGAGCUGAUGUCCGUUUUUGUAAACGUCCCUUGCCGCCCACAUGUUCUCCAUUGGAUUUAGAUCAGGGGAACACGCAAGGACAAUGCUGCAGUUCACAUUGCCCGCCUGACAGAUGAGCACCCUCUGUCAUGAGGGAUGCCCCCUGCAACAUCUCCGCAUAGCCAGCAGCUGUUUGAUGCCCCUGAACAACCUGAAGCUCCAUUCAUCCAUUGAAGAAAAAAGCACCCCAGAUCAUCCGUCCCCGCUGUCACUCUAUGAGAACCUGGACUUUUCGUUUUCAUUUCGUCCAUGGCUCUGACAAACAUUCGCAGGUACUCUCCACAAAGCCAUUCUCUUCCUUUUCAGCCCUGUAGGCACAGCUCCAUCUGCUGGAUUUGGUCAGUCACUGCACCAUUGGGCCCAUAGCAAAUGGACUAUAAAAGCUAAAUGGAAAAAAAGGGCUCUGCAUCUUUAGAGAUUCAAGAGUUUUAUUGUCAUAUGCACAGUAAAACAAGUAGUUAUACUAUGCAAUGAAAUUCUUGUUCUGUUCAUUCUCCCAAAAAAAGCAAGAAAGAAAACACAAGAAAAUGAAUAAGAACAGAAGAAACAUUAAUACCAAUAAAUUAAGCAACAACAACAAAUGAUCGGCAGACGCAAGGACAACACUGUAUCACGGGUUAGCACUGCUACCUCACUGCAAAUGUGUUCAGGGUAGAUUCUGGCUUUUUUGCGUGAAGUUUCCCAGCUUUCUUCACAAGUCUAAACCAUACCUUAAACCUAUACCUUAAAUUUAUGAGAAAAAGUCGUAAAUUCAUAAGAAUAAAGUUGUAAAUGUACAACAAAAAACGUUGUAAAUGUACAAGAAUAAAGACAUAAAUUUAUGAGAAAAAAGUCCUAAAUUUCCGAGAAAAAAAGUUGUAAUAUUAUGAGAAAGUCGUAAAUUUACGAAAAUAAAGUGGUAUUAUUACAGUAUGUGAGGUACGUGUCAGAGGGAAAAUAGAGCAGAGCUCUUCCGGAAGGAAGGGAACUUUCCUCUUGCUUCAGGCAAGCUUUUAUUUAUAACGUGGCAGCAAAACAGAGCAGUUGAGCACAAACAGAUUAGCAUGUCCUGUCUCACGUCCUUACUCUGCCAAAAGGCAAAGGUCAAAACUUUCUACCAUUUUCCUAGCUGUCUCAGGCAAUGCCUGUAGCAUAAAGUUACAAGUUUUUUCUCAUAAAUUUAGGACUUUAUUCUUGUAAUAUUACAAGUUUUUAAAAGUAAAUUAAUUGUAAAAUAAUCUCUGAUUAUUUUUUCCUCACUGUGGCUGUAAUACGCCAUCGUAAUAGGCGUUGUGGUCCAGCUAAUGAUGACUAAUGACAAUGAUUAAUGAAAAUAAUGGUGAUGGUAUUCUUACAUGGAAAAUUUUCCAUGUAAAACGUCAUCACCCUUAUUUUCAUAAUUAUGGUCAUCAGCAUUAUAUAUGAGUAUCACUAAUUAAGGUCUGACAUAUGUUAGCUUGAGUAUGGAAUAAUGGUCUGACGUGUAGUGCAUAGAAUUAUAUAAAAGCCCAUUCCACUCUGUUCAGGGUGCAUUGUAUGGACCAAACCAAACCUCCCACACUGUUAUUGGCAUCAUACAUGCCCCCCUAAAAUAUAUUUUGUGCUGGCAAAUAUGCCGUGUUUACCCACAAGGGCCAUUUUUUAUCCAAACUGUGUUUGAUUUUAGCACAGUCAGGAGGGCAAUCAAAACAGUCAUUGUGAAUGGGAUUUUUAUUGAUGUCGCCGUAUUAUGACAAGAUGAUCAAAUAUGCAUAGAUUGACUCACUGAUAAGAUUAGCAUUGACUAAAAGGAAAAAAAAAACAGGUAAAAUGGAAAGAUACAUAUCUUAUAUAUUAUAUUCUAUAUUGGAAUCAUUUUUCCACAAGACAUGGUGGGGAUACAAAUAUCUCAGAAGUUGAACCUUUAUUUACGUCACAAGAAUUGGAAGGAAGGUUCAUAGUAGUUUGGUAAAAUAUAAAAACACUCAAGACAAGACAAACACAAAGUCGAGAGGUUGAACUGGGGAGUAAGACCUCAUGUAACUCAACAGCAGGGUUGGGUAUCCCAUAUUAUCCCAUAUCGGUGCCAAAUUGGUACGUUUGGAAUGGUUCCGGUGCUUAAACGGUGCCUGAACUGAAUGUGUGUGCAACGUUGGAAGGUUCAGUAUGCAUCUCGACUCGGUGGUGGUGUCCUAAGUCACACAGCCACAGCGUUUUCUAAAAUUUUAAAUGGAAGAUU
Dunckerocampus dactyliophorus (ringed pipefish) is the source of this 2547-nucleotide long non-coding RNA. RefSeq lists it as uncharacterized. The transcript is spliced from 4 exons. NCBI's taxonomy places the organism in Eukaryota, Metazoa, Chordata, Actinopteri, Syngnathiformes, Syngnathidae. The record is from RefSeq and is a predicted model, not a curated record.